Molecule: long non-coding RNA, 1799 nt
Organism: Rhea pennata
Lineage: Eukaryota; Metazoa; Chordata; Aves; Rheiformes; Rheidae
Exons: 2
Source: RefSeq, a predicted model, not a curated record
GAUGAUGAAAAUUUCCCUUGAAGCAGCAGAGGCUCUGUUCAGUUAAAGACAUGGAGAAGGACACCACAUCCUGCCUCGGUCAGUUCUCCCUUAGGUGUGUGUGCAUGGAUCUUCAGUGGCUCUUCCCCUACACCUAAGUUUCCUGGACUUGAAGAUCAGCUGGUGUGCUCCAGACUAGAACUGGAGAAAGCAACAUAAAAAUAUUAUUUAAGACUACAGCAUUUGAGAAAAGCGUGAAUUCAAACUCAGGCUAAGAUGGAAGUCUAGACACGGCCAUGUGACCUCAUUGCUCACUCUGAGUAGAAUUGAAGACAGACUCGCGUCCCUGGGAACAAACCUCUUAGAAACUGCACACUGAAGGUCCCCUUUUCUAGCUUUCUAUGUGGCCACGUUCAGGCUUCUCUCAUUUAUUUGAGAUUGAAGCAAAGUGGUUGCUAAGUGGUUAGCUGCCAUAACUGUCUUUUUUUGAGGCUAGAGUGUAGAUAAUAGAAUUGCUUUUAUGGAAUCUCCACUGUCUUGAAUUUUCAAAAGUAAUUGCUUAUGGUUCGUUAAAUUCCUUAGUUAGGCCCCUAGCCCUUAGGCUGAAUAUCACUGGGAUGCGUUUUUGAAAUUUUUCUAAGUAGUCUCUCUCCCUAUCUUAAUAACUAUCUAUUUCUAAUCUUACUAGUAAGAGUUCUAAAUCUGCUUUCAGAUUGCUUGUAUUUUUGUUAUGUUCUUUCUCUGCAGGCAACAAUUUUCCUAAUUAAUUCUGACUACAGAAUGGCUGGGUUCCUCCAUUGUAUUUUUAAAUGUAAUAAGCAUAAGAAUAAAGAACAGAGCAGAGGAUACGAGAGCUUGAAUUUAAUCUCAAUUUUUUAAUUUUGUUUAUAGUUAAGCCACUGCCAAGAUGUUAUAGAGACACUUUGAUUAAAAUCAAAUAAAACAUUACUGAAAGCAGGAAGACUGGGUACUAAAAUCAAACUAUUUAUCAUGUCAUAAUCUUUUUAAUUCCAGUUACCUGCUAUAUAAACCUAGGUUAAAAAUAGUUUCUUUGCAAUAUGAUCUAACACCAGAGGAAAUGGGCUAAUAUUAUACAAGUCAUUUUACACUUUGUACAUUGUUUACAUAAUAUGAUCAAGACUAUUUCCAAUUACUUUGAUGAGGGCUGAAUUUAUGGCCUAUAAAGUGGAAACUUCUGUCACUGAAAUAAUUCCUCAGCUCAUCCUUCAACCCUGGUUUAUUUUCUUUCUCAAGUUUUAGUUGUUGGUAUUUAUUACCCUAGAUUUGCCAAGAUCUUGGAUACUGCUGGAGAGAGUGUUUUUGCAAAUCUAUUCUUGUGAGUUCAUCACCUUCAUCCUGACAUAUUGUGUGGGUUGUUUGUAACCUCAGGCCUCUGAAAAACAGUAUUUCUUGAAUUUUAGUGGAAGAUUUAUGAUAAACAUUUCUGUAUUUACUGAGUGUUUGUAAAGCAACAAAUUAUGUUCAGAUAAUGAGUGUUUAGUGCUGAAGUUCAGCACAUCUCACAGCUGGACAUUAGCUAAUGAAUACAAGCUGGUUUAAAUGCAAUAGCUGUUUAUCCUCUCAAGAAAAAACAAAUUUUGUCUCAGAAAGCCUAGGCAAAGCUUUUAACCAGAUGAUUUUACAGACAUAUUGUCAUUGCUCAGAUUAGGAAUAUUUAUCCACUGCCUGUCCAUGCUGUGGGUGGUACCAAUGGUGACUCAGUGAAGGACCAGCCUUUGUGGCUGGUUUGUUCCAAGGUCCUGACACAGUGCUUUAAGGCUACACUCUGCAAUGAAUAAAAUCAAAUCAUUAAAAUCAUG